CUACACCGAAGCACAAAACAAAGUAGGCAAAUCGCUCGAAACAUCUGCCUUAGAAUCUGAGCUGUCAGACUCAGAUUCAGCAAGCCCCGCCCAAGGCUCACCACUUUCUGGUAGUACAGAUCAGGCGACUAUGUCAUUGUCCCAGCCCGCUGUGGAAAGUCAAUGUCCUUCAGCACUUGGCUUGCAUAGCCAACGCGGUCAUACUCGCAUCUCUGGGCCCCUGCUUUCAUUGCCAUUGCCGCCAACGACAUUGCCAAGAGCUGUCCAGAAAACAGCUGAGCCUGCACCUGAUGAUAGACAUGGACACAUGCGGAAAGUAUACAAAGCUCUUGUGGAGCUCAAAGAAGACUUCAGAAAUCUCAGGGACAUCAUACUUAACAUUGAGGCAACAGUGAAAGCAACAUCAGCUAUUGAGAGCCAGUCCUUUGUGCUUCCGUCUCUGCCGCUUCAGUCUCAGAAUGAUUUAGCAGAACUUGAAGCUCGUCUGCUUGACCCACACUACCGACAUCAGUUUGUAAGCAUGUCUCUUGUCCUUACACUGAGCAACGUAUAAACAUGCUGCUAAC
This is a long non-coding RNA of Ornithodoros turicata, 566 nucleotides long. RefSeq lists it as uncharacterized. NCBI's taxonomy places the organism in Eukaryota, Metazoa, Arthropoda, Arachnida, Ixodida, Argasidae. The transcript has 3 exons. The record is from RefSeq and is a predicted model, not a curated record.